This 209-nucleotide ribosomal RNA is filed under the name uncultured prokaryote. Its description in RNAcentral is "partial 16S ribosomal RNA". It matches the Rfam family "Bacterial small subunit ribosomal RNA", at positions 524 to 732 of the family's 1533-position model. The record is from RNAcentral.
UACGAAGGGGGCUAGCGUUGCUCGGAAUGACUGGGCGUAAAGGGCGCGUAGGCGGUGUGCACAGUUGGGCGUGAAAUUCCAGGGCUCAACCUGGGGGCUGCGUUUGAUACGUGUUCGCUUGAGUUCGGAAGAGGGUCGUGGAAUUCCCAGUGUAGAGGUGAAAUUCGUAGAUAUUGGGAGGAACACCGGUGGCGAAGGCGGCGACCUGG